GGCACUCCGUGGGCACCCUGUGAAGGCGAGAGCGUGACAUGGUCCUGCUUUUUCUGGCAGCCUUGAUGGCACUGUCAGACUUUGGUCAUGCACAGGACUCUGUGCUGCAGUUUGCACAAGAAACUGCCAUCCGGGUGGGACACAAUGCUACUCUGCACUGCAAUUUCUCCACCAGCAGCUCUCUUCCCUACAUCUUCUGGUAUCAGCAGCGCCUGACCCAAUCCCCUCAGUUCUUGCUGCAGGUGAGCAAGUCCAAGCCUCAUGUGCAUUCCGGGAGGAUCUCCUCUGUGCUCUCCAUGGAGAACUCCCAGGUGCUUCUCCACGUGCAAGAUGCCAAGCUCCAGGACAGCGCUGUCUACCUGUGUGCACUGAGCCCACACUGGUGCCUGCAGCAUGCAGCUUUAUACAGGAAGGUGCGGGUGCUGUGAGGAGCAGCUCCCUCUCAUCACAGUUUGCAUGGAGCUCCGAGCUGAGCCUGCCCAGCAAGGACACGUGGGGCUUGUGGUGAGCCAGGUGUGAGUGGCAGCCCCUGCUCCUGAUGCCUGGCAGUGUGGUUAGCAUAACCAACAGUAAGGCAAAUAUCCAUAAUGUGGAAGGAGGCUGUUAAUGUGCACCCCUGCCCCCUUGUCUCUCCCUCUCACUGGCCCCAGCAUGUGGAGACACCCACCAUUGUGGUGAGAAAGGGCAUUAGUGUUAUCCAUCUAGUAAUUCAACUAGUAAU
Cygnus olor (mute swan) is the source of this 721-nucleotide non-coding RNA. The record is from the annotation of a RefSeq genome assembly. Lineage: Eukaryota; Metazoa; Chordata; Aves; Anseriformes; Anatidae.